ACAACUGAAUAUCCGAUGUUCGGAAUGAUACCCGUCAUGUUGGGUUGAAACGAACAGUCUAAUCUCCUGCAUGCAAAGAUAUGUAACAGAAUAUCUUUGUAUGAAGCCGGGUAAAGUCGGCAGAACAAAACCUAAGUCAUAAAAAAUAUAUGAUAUGGUUCUUUGGAUAUGCCGGGACGCUAUAA
This 185-nucleotide non-coding RNA is filed under the name human gut metagenome. The record is from RNAcentral.